Schistosoma mansoni is the source of this 48-nucleotide non-coding RNA. The record is from Rfam. Lineage: Eukaryota; Metazoa; Platyhelminthes; Trematoda; Strigeidida; Schistosomatidae.
AUCGAGCUGACGCGUUCCGAAUAGGACGAAACGCGCGUCAAACUGGAU